Molecule: ribosomal RNA, 425 nt
Filed under: uncultured bacterium
Lineage: Bacteria
Description: partial 16S ribosomal RNA
Rfam family: Bacterial small subunit ribosomal RNA
Source: RNAcentral
GUGGGGAAUCUUGCGCAAUGGGCGAAAGCCUGACGCAGCCAUGCCGCGUGAAUGAUGAAGGUCUUAGGAUUGUAAAAUUCUUUCACCGGGGACGAUAAUGACGGUACCCGGAGAAGAAGCCCCGGCUAACUUCGUGCCAGCAGCCGCGGUAAUACGAAGGGGGCUAGCGUUGCUCGGAAUUACUGGGCGUAAAGGGCGCGUAGGCGGACAGUUUAGUCAGAGGUGAAAGCCCAGGGCUCAACCUUGGAAUUGCCUUUGAUACUGGCUGUCUUGAGUACUGGAGAGGUGAGUGGAACUCCGAGUGUAGAGGUGAAAUUCGUAGAUAUUCGGAAGAACACCAGUGGCGAAGGCGACUCACUGGCCCGUUACUGACGCUGAGGCGCGAAAGCGUGGGGAGCAAACAGGAUUAGAUACCCUUGUAGUCC